RNAcentral lists this ribosomal RNA (1709 nucleotides) under Poecilopsetta natalensis (African righteye flounder). RNAcentral describes it as "16S ribosomal RNA". The stretch from base 95 to 1628 matches the Rfam family "Bacterial large subunit ribosomal RNA". Lineage: Eukaryota; Metazoa; Chordata; Actinopteri; Pleuronectiformes; Poecilopsettidae. The record is from RNAcentral.
CACCCAUAAGCUAGCCCAAACCCUAAAUUCAACAACUCACUAUCAAUAACCCCAAAAACACCCCACAAUUUAACUAAACCAUUUUUCCCCCUAAGUAUAGGCGAUAGAAAAGGAAAUCACGGAGCCAUAGAUCAAGUACCGCAAGGGAAAGCUGAAAGAGGGAUGAAACAGCCCAGUAAAGUUAUAAAAAGCAGAGAUUUAACCUUGUACCUUUUGCAUCAUGAUUUAGCUAGCACCCCUAAGCAAAGAGCCCUUUAGUUUAUUACCCCGAAACUAGGUGAGCUACUUCAAGACAGCCUAUUAAUAGGGCAAACCCGUCUCUGUGGCAAAAGAGUGGGAAGAUCUUCAAGUAGAGGUGAUAAACCUACCGAACCCAGUUAUAGCUGGUUGACUGAGAAUUGGAUAGAAGUUCAGCCUCCCGGUUUCUCCCUUCAUGUAAAUUCAAAAUUAAAACAGAUUACCAAGAUACCAAGAGAGUUAGUUAAAGGGGGUACAGCCCCUUUAAAAAAAGAUACAACUUUAAUAGGCGGAUAAAGAUCAUAAUUAACCAAGGAAAUAUAUUUUAGUGGGCCUAAAAGCAGCCACCCUAAAAGAAAGCGUUAAAGCUCAAAUAUAAACCCUCCCCCUUAUACUGAUCUCCCUAAUCUCAAUCCCCUCCUCAAUAUCAGUCUAUUCUAUGCCUCCAUAGAAGAAACUAUGCUAAUAUGAGUAAUAAGAGAACCCCUCUCUCCCCGCACAAGUGUAAAUCGGAACGGACCCCCCACCGAAAACUAACGGCCCCAAACCAAGAGGGUACUGAAAAUGAAACUUAAUAGAACUAGAAAAGGAUUCAAAACAAAACCGUUAAUUCCACACUGAUGUGCACCCAAGGAAAGACUAAAAGAAAAAGAAGGAACUCGGCAAACAAAAUUAUAAGCCUCGCCUGUUUACCAAAAACAUCGCCUCUUGCAAACUAAAGAAUAAGAGGUCCCGCCUGCCCAGUGACAACAGUUCAACGGCCGCGGUAUUUUGACCGUGCUAAGGUAGCGUAAUCACUUGUCUUUUAAAUGAAGACCUGUAUGAAUGGCAUAACGAGGGCUUAACUGUCUCCUUUUUCAAGUCAAUGAAAUUGAUCUCCCCGUGCAGAAGCGGGGAUAUACACAUAAGACGAGAAGACCCUAUGGAGCUUUAGAUGUUAAGACAGCCUAUGUUAAAAGUACCCAAUAAAGGACCAAACUAAAUAGGCUCUGCCUAAAUGUCUUCGGUUGGGGCGACCUUGGGGAAACACAAAACCCCCACGAGGAGCAGGAGCACUUAACCCUUACACUUACCACCCUCCUAAAGAUUAGAAUUACGCUUCUAAUAAACAGAACUUCUGACCAAAAAUGAUCCGGCAAAGCCGAUCAACGAACCAAGUUACCCUAGGGAUAACAGCGCAAUCCCCUUUUAGAGUCCAUAUCGACAAGGGGGUUUACGACCUCGAUGUUGGAUCAGGACAUCCCAAUGGUGCAGCCGCUAUUAAGGGUUCGUUUGUUCAACGAUUAAAGUCCUACGUGAUCUGAGUUCAGACCGGAGUAAUCCAGGUCAGUUUCUAUCUAUGUAAUGAUCUUUUCCAGUACGAAAGGACCGAAAAGAAGAGGCCCAUGCUACAAGCACGCCUCACCCCCACCUGAUGAAAAAUCUAAACUAGGCAAAAGGGCAUUUCCCCUGCCCGCCAAAAAGAAUGGCGU